RNAcentral lists this ribosomal RNA (601 nucleotides) under uncultured bacterium. RNAcentral describes it as "bacterial SSU rRNA". It matches the Rfam family "Bacterial small subunit ribosomal RNA", at positions 733 to 1338 of the family's 1533-position model. The record is from RNAcentral.
GCCUUUACUGACGCUAAAGCUCGAAGGUGCGGGUAUCGAACAGGAUUAGAUACCCUGGUAGUCCGCACGGUAAACGAUGGAUGCCCGCUGUUUGCGAUAUACUGUGAGCGGCCAAGAGAAAUCGUUAAGCAUCCCACCUGGGGAGUACGCCGGCAACGGUGAAACUCAAAGGAAUUGACGGGGGCCCGCACAAGCGGAGGAACAUGUGGUUUAAUUCGAUGAUACGCGAGGAACCUUACCCGGGCUUGAACUGCAGCGGAAGGAUAGAGAGAUCUUGACGCCCUUCGGGGCCGCUGUGGAGGUGCUGCAUGGUUGUCGUCAGCUCGUGCCGUGAGGUGUCGGCUUAAGUGCCAUAACGAGCGCAACCCUUUUCAUUAGUUGCCAUCAGGUGAUGCUGGGCACUCUGAUGAUACUGCCACCGUAAGGUGUGAGGAAGGUGGGGAUGACGUCAAAUCAGCACGGCCCUUACGUCCGGGGCUACACACGUGUUACAAUGGGUGGUACAGAGAGUCGGUCGUCUGCAAAUGCGAUCCAAUCCUUAAAGCCAUCCUCAGUUCGGAUUGGGGUCUGCAACCCGACCCCAUGAAGCUGGAUUCGCUAG